This is a long non-coding RNA of Gasterosteus aculeatus aculeatus (three-spined stickleback), 3714 nucleotides long. The record is from Ensembl. NCBI's taxonomy places the organism in Eukaryota, Metazoa, Chordata, Actinopteri, Perciformes, Gasterosteidae.
CCUCAAGGCGACUCACGUUGCCUCAACACGUCGCCAUCACGCCCAUUCCGGGGUCCGUUCGCGAGACCGGAGGCGGGAGCUGGCAUGCGAGGUGCCACCCGGGCCACGACUCGCGCCCGUUGGCUCGCCGUUGGCACGGCAACGGGAGGAAUGUUGGGGGAGGUUUCUGCUGAUUGAAGUGGUUUCUCAAAAGGUGUUUAGGCAGAAACUUUUUUUACCCCCCUUCUUACAAUGCGAAGGUGGACUCCCCCCCCCCCCCCCAUCGAUGCAUUUCCGAGGAUCACGCAAACGGAGGCGACGGUUCUGAGCUCUGAGAGGGGAACAUGUUCCACGUACAGUUGGUUUUGUAACGUUUUGCCCAGCCGGAACAGAAGGUGAAGGACCUCCUGUCAUCGCUCUGCAGAGUGGCAAACCUUGACAUUUGGAAUUACAGCAUCACCAAAACCUUCACAGCGAUCGAUUCUUUGCGGGGGGGGGGGGGGGUGUGAUACCAGGAAAUGCCAGAAUGCUUGUGAACCGGACCUGUACUGCUGAGAAGAAGGAUCCCCGUCUCUCCUUCAUCCCUGGAGUCACAGCGACCGCUCUCAGAGUGACCAGUGAACCUGUCGCUGUGUGAACACACAUCAAACCUGCGGCGGAACUCGACGGGCUCCACAAUUAAUCCAAUGUUCUCAGCGAUGGACUGCGUUCGCCUCGCAGAUGAAUAUACUGUAUAUCAAACCAGGCGCUUGCACAACAGCGUGCCGCUGAAGGGCGAAGGGGGACCCUCGUUUAAUUAAAAGACAUUUUCAUGCUGUGCCGCCUGGUUUGUCACAGUGAAACUCCUGGAACGCUCCCCAUUAGACAAAGAGGAGCUGGCCAACCCUGGACGUCCUGUCCAGGUUAAGCGUCUCGCCCAAGGACACGCUGACAUGCGGAGUAGCGGGGGCAGGGAUCGAAACCGUCGUGUCCAGAUCCACUCUGGACAGCGCAGAGUGGAUCUGCUGAGGGGACGGAGACUUCCUGUCUCUGUGGUGGCAUCAGCCAUCCUUUUACGGCUUGGUCUCCCCCCCCCCGGCAGAGGGACUGGACAGGCCGGUGAAGAAGGCCACAGAAUGGUGGCCACGCUAUUAUCCCUGAUGGCCCGGUGAGAUGUUUCCUGGACUGGUCAAGGCCAGAGAAGCAGUUAUUGAUUGGGGAACGAGUUCCAGGCAGCAGACAACUAGUGAAACCGGUCCUAAGAAAAAGGGAUCUUCAGCAAAUGGUUCUUUGGUGGAAGAAGCAGCGCUUCACAAAAAAACAAUACAAGCUUUUUAAUCUUUUCCCUUUUCCAACUGUUUAUGAGUAAAUUCAGAAUUCAGCUUAACAAGUUUAGCGUUCUCUCUUUCCAAAGCAGAUUUGUUUAAUGAGGCAAUUCAAGGCCUUGAAUAAUUAUCUAUACUUAACCAAGUACUGUCACACUAAAUUAGCUUUAGUGCUAAAGCUGUCGAGUGUCUGUAUGCAAAAGGCUCUCAAAAGAAAAGAGAACGUUACAGUCAGACCUGCGUCUGUUAACAGUAACACCGUCAAAGAAAACUUUUCACCUCGGUUCCAACUAGCAAUUAUUUUUGAUUAUUGUAAUUGGAGAAUGUGGCUCAGUAGUCCCGCCCCCCUCCCUCAGACCAAUUUUCGGUACAGAACGCAGGCAAUGCGAUGGACACCAUAGAUAUUAUAUAUAAAAGGCUAGAUGUCUCGUCCAACGGAGUCGACCGUCCGCGCGCGGCGGCCAUCUUGGGAGGGGGAGCUCCUUUAAAGUGACGUAACUGGAGUUUAUUGAAACUUUGUUGUUGUUGUUGUUGUUGAACCCAGCUGGGAUGUAGACAAGCAGUGCUCUAAACCAAUCACAGUCGUCUGUGUUAAGCGGAGGAUGUAGCGACAGACCUGCUGAUGAUGCUUUAUUCUCUAGUUCACUCUGUCAUAGUCAGAACUAAAUGAGGAUUUAAACAAACAUUUUUAUUGGUACUCCUCAUGAGCAAUGUGAAAAAUGGUGAUAUUCUACUUUAGGUCAAUACAGUCGCCUGACGGUAUUGGGGUUUCUUUUUAAAAUAAAGGCCACCGUUGUCGUCGUCACCAUCAAGCCAAUCUUCCCCUAAACCCGAUGAAUUCCCAUUUCACGUGAAGGGCGCGAAAUCUAAGCGAGCAUCUUAAGAAGAAGCCAUGAACUGCAUGUGAAGAGAAGCCACGAUGGGAGCGCAAUCUCCCGCUGGAGCCAGAGUGGAGUGAACCAGCUGAGAUGAUGGGACGCUUUGAGCUCUGCCUGCUGAGUCUGAUGAAGCUCAGAGGCUGUGGGCCCGGCAGCAUCGUCAGUGAUGGCAUCCUCCUCAGCCUCCAAUCAAAUACAGUCUGAGGAGAGCAGCUUCCCGCCCACUGAGAAAGUACCAAACACGAGCUCGCCGGGUGUUUUUAGAGGGACAACGAUGGGCAGCGCCUCGGCUACAGAAGACUCCGGUUACAGAGUCAGAAGCUGCGAACAAACGAGCUACAAGGUACCAGUUCACAUUACAGCGUCGCGUUACACCUACAGGGCAAAGCUAUGCGUGGGUUUGUCUUUCUACGGCUCCCAGGCAAGAAGCGGGUGCACAGACCCCAACGCACACUGAGAACACACACUUCAUUUCAGUGAAAGCGUUUAAAGUCGCAUGUUUUAAACGCCAUAUGAGGCGCAUCCGGAAAGUAUUCACAGCGCUUCACUUUUUCCACUUUUUGUUAUGUUACAGCCUUUUUCCAAAAUGGAUUAAAUUCAUUAUUUCCCUCAACAUUCUACACACAACAAGCCAUAAUGACAAAGUGAAAACUGUUUUUUGCUAAUUUUUGCAAGUCCGUUAAAAAUAAAGAACGAAACUAUGUGCUACUAUGAAAAUAUACAUAUUUGAUUGGUUGAAUGGCAUCACAUGAGGUGAUAUAAAACGCAUGAGAUGGACCUAACGGUACAGAAGAGGCCUCUAGGUCAGAAAGAGAAAAGUAAUUAUCUCAUAGAAUUCCAUACAAUUGGACAAUUGCAAGCAGAUGAGUCGCCCCCCCACAGCUGGUCAAUGCAGAGAAUGCAAUGGGGGUGUGUGUAUUGUCUCUUACCAUCUCCAGCCUUCAUCCACCACUGACCUCCUCCUCGCCAUCACAUCCCUCUUUUCUCAAACUGUCUCUCCAUGCUUUCCGCUGCCGCUCGCUCUUCCAUCAUUGGUCUAAUUGUUUUCUCUCUCUGCGCACACUGCCUCUUAAACGCUGGUACAAAGCAAUUGGAUGUGGCCAGCUUAAUUGCAACUGGGUUGCGUUAUAAUAUUUUCCGUCAACCUGAAGAAUUACAUUAUCUAUCUCACAACCACUCACUGUUUUUCUCAGGGAGCAGAAAAAGCGGAGAUGGAAACCAAAUUCAAUAAAACAAGCUUUUAGCCUCCACUCUUCACCAUUAUUACCAGUAUUUGCCAUUUUACCACUUCCUGUAAACACCCCUACACGCCGCUUUAUUUACGCUCACAUCCAACCAUGGACUGAGAUCCCCAUCAUUUUCCAUUUACAAUUCUCCAGUGAAAUGGCAAAGUUCCAAAGUACUUUCUACUUGCAUCUAAAGAAGGACUUGUUUCUGUUCCGGUCUUGUUGGACCUCAGUGACACCAUCAAUCACUGCAUCAUAGAGUAUUUUACUAGAACAUUUAACUGGUAUUAAAGGAAACUCAGUGAGCUGGUUUAAGUUGUAUUUAUU